RNAcentral lists this non-coding RNA (21 nucleotides) under Caenorhabditis elegans. Lineage: Eukaryota; Metazoa; Nematoda; Chromadorea; Rhabditida; Rhabditidae. The record is from RNAcentral.
UCUGGUUGCUAGGAAAAAUAC